Molecule: unclassified non-coding RNA, 351 nt
Filed under: fungal sp.
Lineage: Eukaryota; Fungi
Description: partial internal transcribed spacer region
Rfam family: Eukaryotic small subunit ribosomal RNA (bases 1-46)
Source: RNAcentral
AAGUCGUAACAAGGUUUCCGUAGGUGAACCUGCGGAAGGAUCAUUUGAGUUCUUUCUCCUUUUAUUGGGGGAAUUCAAUUCAUCUAUAUAAACAAAGUCAACUGUGUGGAAGUGUACUGAUGACAAAAAAAAGAGACGAGCUGCAGCCAUUCGUCAAAAGCGUGUGCGUUCCCAUCCAUGUAAGAGUGGGUGGGAGCGUGCUGCUGCUGCGCUCUCUCACUUUUUUUCGUCUGCUUUCUAUAUGCACUCUGUGCGAUGGAUAAAACUCAAUGAGAAACACAUGCCCAAAGCAUUCAAACCAAAAGAAUGAAACCAAAAUGAACAGUUUUAACGGUGGAUCUCUAGGCUCGC